Molecule: non-coding RNA, 489 nt
Organism: Pogona vitticeps (central bearded dragon)
Lineage: Eukaryota; Metazoa; Chordata; Lepidosauria; Squamata; Agamidae
Source: RefSeq, a predicted model, not a curated record
AAUCACUGAGACUAAUAAAUAGGUGCACUCCUAGAUUUGGAGAGGACACCAGAAUUGCACAGCGGCCUGUUUGUUUUCUCCGUCUCCUGCUUGAGAUCCCAACCAAGCUUAAGACAUGCAGUCUGGCAGCAUCUUCAUUGCUGUAUUUUUAUUAAUGAUCUUGGCUUCCCCAGGGGAUGCGUACAUCGGGAUAGAUGCGACAAAUUCUGAAAUGUGCAAUAGCAUGAAGGGCACCUGUACAACGAAUCCUCAGUGCAAUCGUCAAUUUCUAGGAAAAUGUGCGGAAGGAAUCUGGUGUUGCUUACAAUGACUUGGAAAAGGAAGGAAAGAGACAUAUUUCAGUUCAGCAACAACAGUAGCUUCAACACCAAGAAUGUGGAUUUUCUGUCACUUGGGAAUCAUAUAAUGAGAUGGAGAUCUUAUUUCACAGAUAUUUUAUGAAAAACAAGGAAAACUGGAACACUGUCUCAAUAAAUAAUGGAAUAAUUA